Molecule: ribosomal RNA, 538 nt
Filed under: Scinax elaeochroa (Sipurio snouted treefrog)
Lineage: Eukaryota; Metazoa; Chordata; Amphibia; Anura; Hylidae
Description: partial large subunit ribosomal RNA
Rfam family: Bacterial large subunit ribosomal RNA
Source: RNAcentral
CGCCUUUUGAAUAAAAAUAAGAGGUCCAGCCUGCCCAGUGACUAAUGUUCAACGGCCGCGGUAUCCUAACCGUGCGAAGGUAGCGUAAUCACUUGUUCUUUAAAUGAGGACUAGUAUGAAUGGCACCACGAGGGUUAUACUGUCUCCUUUCUCUAAUCAGUGAAACUAAUUUCCCCGUGAAGAAGCGAGGAUAUAACUAUAAGACGAGAAGACCCUAUGGAGCUUUAAAUUUCUCUUCAAACGCCAGACCCCCUCAACAGUCAUAGACUAACUACAUCUACAUCAGCGCUAUGAAGACGACUUUUAGGUUGGGGUGACCGCGGAGUACAAAAAAACCUCCACGCUGAAUCAGACUCUAAACCUUGAGCAAAGGGCCACAACCCAAAGCACUAAAAAAUUAACAUCAAUUGACCCAAUAUUCUAUUGAUCAACGAACCAAGUUACCCUAGGGAUAACAGCGCAAUCUACUUCAAGAGUUCCUAUCGACAAGUGGGUUUACGACCUCGAUGUUGGAUCAGGGUAUCCCAGGUGGUGCAGC